GUCUGGGGUCACACCACCCUGAACAUGCUCAGUCUCGUCUGAUCUUGGAAGAAGCAGGGUUGGUCCUGGUUAGUACUUGGAUGGGAAUUCUUUAUG
RNAcentral lists this ribosomal RNA (96 nucleotides) under Castor canadensis (American beaver). Lineage: Eukaryota; Metazoa; Chordata; Mammalia; Rodentia; Castoridae. The record is from RNAcentral.